UGCAGCCAUGUCAAAUUCAGUGCCUACCCUGCCAAUGGCAGGCACUGGCCCAAGAGACUGCCAUAGAAAUACUGUGACUCAUGGGCCCUGUAGCCCUUGCCUGCCUGGGCUCAGGGAUAAAUUUGGUCACCUUAAGCC
Molecule: small nucleolar RNA, 138 nt
Filed under: Nannospalax galili (Upper Galilee mountains blind mole rat)
Lineage: Eukaryota; Metazoa; Chordata; Mammalia; Rodentia; Spalacidae
Description: Small nucleolar RNA SNORA5 (ENSNGAG00000007960.1)
Rfam family: Small nucleolar RNA SNORA5
About the family: ACA5 is a member of the H/ACA class of snoRNA that guide the sites of modification of uridines to pseudouridines.
Source: Rfam by way of RNAcentral